GAUCAAGGGGAUGAUGUUUUCCUAUGUGAAUAUGAAUAUGAUAUUCAAUGGCACAGUUUCAAGCGUCUAGCUGAGAUU
Gossypium raimondii (Peruvian cotton) is the source of this 78-nucleotide non-coding RNA. The record is from Rfam. NCBI's taxonomy places the organism in Eukaryota, Viridiplantae, Streptophyta, Magnoliopsida, Malvales, Malvaceae.